This 588-nucleotide long non-coding RNA is filed under the name Pongo abelii (Sumatran orangutan). Its description in RNAcentral is "lincRNA". Lineage: Eukaryota; Metazoa; Chordata; Mammalia; Primates; Hominidae. The record is from RNAcentral.
AGACUGAGAAAGUGCCACAGGGCGGGGGCCGCAUCCGCCCCUCGGCUUCUGGCUACUGACCCUACGGCUUUGUGAGUGAAAGUGAAGAGACACUUCGAGGCAGGAGGUCCUGGAACCAAUCCCCCUCUGAUACUGAGGGACAACUAUUACACAAGAGAAAUAUUCUACUAUUCACAAAAUCCUGUUUAAGUGUCGUGAAAUACAAACACCAGGGAAUCAAGAACUUUAGAAAAUUGUGGCUGUGUUCCCAUACGGGGUACAAAGAACCAGUGAGUCCCAUUUGUUGUGGUUCCUGCAUUCGAUGACUCCAGAUGUGCCACCACCGAGCUAGUCUUAUGACAACCUAGAAGGCAAAUUGGGAUGGCCCUAUAUUUGUCACUGACAGCAGAAGGGUUGAGAACUUAGAUCCUGACAGGAGGCCCACCUUUAUUGGAGAACUGGCUCUGCAACUUAGGAUUAUUACAACUUGUAAAAAUUAGUGAGUUAUACGUGGGAAGCAUUUUGGCCUCACAACUGAGAAGCAGAGAAGUGGUUCAAGGCUCAUGUAAGACUGCUGGGAUUUGAAAUUUAUCCUAUUAUUUGAAGACU